This 495-nucleotide ribosomal RNA is filed under the name uncultured bacterium. RNAcentral describes it as "bacterial SSU rRNA". It matches the Rfam family "Bacterial small subunit ribosomal RNA", at positions 903 to 1397 of the family's 1533-position model. The record is from RNAcentral.
AAAUGAAUAGACGGGGACCCGCACAAGCAGUGGAGUAUGUGGUUUAAUUCGAAGCAACGCGAAGAACCUUACCAGGUCUUGACAUCCCUCUGACCCCUCUAGAGAUAGAGGUUUCCUUCGGGACAGAGGAGACAGGUGGUGCAUGGUUGUCGUCAGCUCGUGUCGUGAGAUGUUGGGUUAAGUCCCGCAACGAGCGCAACCCUUGAUCUUAGUUGCCAGCAUUUCGGAUGGGCACUCUAAGGUGACUGCCGGUGACAAACCGGAGGAAGGUGGGGAUGACGUCAAAUCAUCAUGCCCCUUAUGACCUGGGCUACACACGUACUACAAUGGCCAGUACAACGGGAAGCGAAACCGCGAGGUGGAGCGAAUCCUAUCAAAGCUGGUCUCAGUUCGGAUUGCAGGCUGCAACUCGCCUGCAUGAAGUCGGAAUUGCUAGUAAUCGCGGAUCAGCAUGCCGCGGUGAAUACGUUCCCGGGUCUUGUACACACCGCCCGU